GCCUGGCUAGCUCAGUUGGUAGAGCAUGCGAAUCUUGAUCUUAGGGUUGUGAGUUCAAGCCCUACGCUGGGUG
RNAcentral lists this transfer RNA (73 nucleotides) under Canis lupus familiaris (dog). It matches the Rfam family "tRNA". Rfam says of the family: Transfer RNA (tRNA) molecules are approximately 80 nucleotides in length. RNAcentral also lists the same sequence under 1 other name. Lineage: Eukaryota; Metazoa; Chordata; Mammalia; Carnivora; Canidae. The record is from Rfam by way of RNAcentral.